This 383-nucleotide ribosomal RNA is filed under the name uncultured eukaryote. RNAcentral describes it as "partial 18S ribosomal RNA". It matches the Rfam family "Eukaryotic small subunit ribosomal RNA", at positions 592 to 976 of the family's 1831-position model. The record is from RNAcentral.
CAAUAGCGUAUAUUAAAGUUGUUGCAGUUAAAAAGCUCGUAGUUGGAUUUCUGGUAGGAGCGACCGUGCCGAACUUGAUUGUUCGAGUAUUGUGUUGUCUUCAGCCAUCCUCGUGGAGAACUUUUCUAACAUUAACUUGUUGGGAUUGGGACCCGCGUCGUUUACUGUGAAAAAAUUAGAGUGUUUAAAGCAGGCAUUAGCUUGAACACAUUAGCAUGGAAUAAUAAGAUAGGACUUUGGUACUAUUUUGUUGGUUUGCAUACCAAAUUAAUGAUCAACAGGAACAGUUUGAGGAUAUUCGUAUGAACAUGUCAGAGGUGAAAUUCUUGGAUUUUGAUCAGACGAACUACUGCGAAAGCAUUUAUCAAGGAUGUUUUCAUUAA